CCCACCUUUUUCCUCUUUUCCCUUGGCCCUGCCCCUCCUCUCAUUCUGCAGCCAGGGCCCGUCCUACAGUCCAGACGGAACCCGGGCGGGCUUGGGACUGGGUCUUGGCUCUCCAGGGGGAGCUUGGUUUGCUAUGGCGCCCUGUACCACAGUGAUCAGGGCCCAGCAGCUGCUGCUGGUACUGAGUGCUCUAGGACUCUCGGCCGCAGGUGCUCCGCAGCCCCCCAACAUUGUGCUACUGCUCAUGGACGAUAUGGGGUGGGGUGACCUGGGUGUGAAUGGAGAACCUUCCAGAGAGACCCCAAAUUUAGACCGGAUGGCUGCAGAAGGGAUGCUUUUCCCAAGCUUCUAUUCUGCCAACCCUUUGUGCUCACCAUCUAGGGCAGCCCUGCUCACAGGACGGCUGCCCAUUCGCAAUGGCUUCUACACAACCAAUGCGCAUGCAAGGAAUGCUUACACACCUCAGGAGAUUGUGGGCGGGAUCCCUGACUCAGAACACCUCCUGCCGGAGCUCCUGAAGAAAGCAGGCUAUACCAGCAAGAUCGUGGGCAAGUGGCAUCUGGGUCACAGACCCCAGUUCCACCCCCUGAAGCAUGGAUUCGAUGAGUGGUUUGGAUCCCCCAACUGUCACUUCGGACCGUAUGACAACAAGGUGAAGCCCAACAUCCCUGUGUACAGGGACUGGGAGAUGGUCGGCAGAUUUUAUGAAGAGUUCCCAAUUAACCUGAAGACCGGGGAAGCUAACCUCACCCAACUCUACUUACAAGAAGCUCUGGACUUCAUCCGGACACAACAUGCAAGGCAGAGUCCCUUCUUCCUCUACUGGGCUAUCGACGCCACGCAUGCACCGGUGUAUGCCUCAAAACAGUUCUUGGGUACCAGCCUUCGAGGGCGGUAUGGCGAUGCUGUUCGGGAAAUAGAUGACAGUGUUGGAAAGAUCCUGAGCCUUCUGCAGAACUUGGGCAUCAGUAAGAACACAUUUGUCUUCUUCACAUCUGAUAACGGUGCAGCCCUCAUUUCUGCUCCCAAAGAAGGUGGCAGCAACGGUCCCUUCCUGUGUGGGAAGCAGACUACAUUUGAAGGCGGGAUGAGGGAGCCUGCGAUCGCAUGGUGGCCAGGGCACAUUGCUGCAGGCCAGGUCAGCCACCAGCUGGGAAGCACCAUGGAUCUCUUCACCACCAGCCUGUCCCUUGCAGGCCUGAAGCCCCCCAGCGACAGGAUGAUUGAUGGGCUUGACCUCCUCCCCACCAUGCUCCAGGGCCAGAUGAUGGACAGGCCCAUAUUUUAUUACCGUGGCAGCGCACUGAUGGCAGUCACUGUUGGCCAGCACAAAGCGCACCUCUGGACUUGGACCAACUCCUGGGAGGAGUUCAGACAGGGCAUUGACUUCUGCCCCGGGCAGAAUGUUUCAGGAGUCACAACCCACACCCAGGAAGAACACACGGAGUUACCCCUGAUCUUCCACCUGGGACGUGACCCAGGCGAGAGAUUCCCACUCAGCUUCGCCAGUGAUGAAUACCAGGACGCCCUCAGCAGGACCACCCAGGUUGUGGAGCAGCACCAAGAGUCCUUGGUCCCUGGACAGCCCCAGCUCAAUGUGUGUGACCAGGCUGUCAUGAAUUGGGCACCCCCAGGCUGUGAAAAACUAGGAAAGUGUCUGACACCUCCUGAGUCUGUCCCUGAGAAGUGUUUCUGGGCCCAUUAGCCAAGACCAGAAUCUCCAGCCAGCCCUCCAAGUGCCUGGAAGGCCUUAGCCUUGGGAAUGAUGGAUGGAAGAGACCCGCUGCCCUCUGCCCACCCAUUCCUGGACGGAUGGCCCCUGCAACCAAUAGCAAGGCUCCAAGACUGCCCAUCCUGGAGCCCCUGACCCUGGAGUCCACUCUUUAGCAAUGCAGCCCAUCUUGCCAACUGACUCCUGAAAAAGAAGCGGCUCACCUACCCCAGGUGGCCUUGGUCACCCACCAUCCGUGCUCCAGCCCAGGGUCUGACGCUGUCACUGUGCCUCCUCACUGUCCCUGCAUACAUUUCAACCUUGGUGUGUCGGAGACAAAAGUGAAGAUUUCAGGGAGAUGCCAAGGGCUGUCUGAUUGGAGCAUGGAGGAGGGGGCCUCCAUCGCCAUCUGCCUGGCCAUCAGUCUUCAUCCCCAGGCCAACCCCCUGAGCCGCCCUACCUCUUCCCCACUAAGCAAAAGACAAAGGUAGCACAUUUUCCAGUCAAGGUGACAUCUGCCACUGCCCCAUGGAGAUAGGAAGAUGGUAUCCUAAAUUUCUGGUUCAGGCUCAGUGCAGUACGGGGCCACCUGUUCUGUGCUCCACACAAUCUCCAAGAUCCUUUCUCUGAAGGCUCAUGGGAGUUGCCCAUCAUGAACAAGCUCUCACAUCUGUGCAGUAAUUGUGACGCCAAAGCUGAAUUGUAAGGUUGGACAAUGAAGAGACUGAGAGCAAGAGUAAAGGAACAGAGACCUCAGAUGGAAGAAUUGCAGCUCACAGGGACGCUCCAGGAAGGAAUGGUUGGAAUCCACUGGACCUGCCCCACACCCUCUCCUUUGAUGAAGGAUGGGCCAGUCUGGAGGCUGUCUUCUGAGUAAUUAUAACUGCACUGAAGAUGAUGAUGGCCAUUAUACUCAGAGGACAGUCUUCCACACCAUUACCU
This is a non-coding RNA of Arvicanthis niloticus (Nile rat), 2653 nucleotides long. The record is from RefSeq and is a predicted model, not a curated record. Lineage: Eukaryota; Metazoa; Chordata; Mammalia; Rodentia; Muridae.